This 449-nucleotide ribosomal RNA is filed under the name uncultured bacterium. RNAcentral describes it as "bacterial SSU rRNA". It matches the Rfam family "Bacterial small subunit ribosomal RNA", at positions 355 to 796 of the family's 1533-position model. The record is from RNAcentral.
UCGAGAAUCUUUCGCAAUGGGCGCAAGCCUGACGAAGCGACGCCGUGUGAGCGAAGAAGGCCUUCGGGUUGUAAAGCUCUUUCGCUAGGGAACAAGAGAAGCAGUAUAAUAUGCUGCUAAUUUGAUGGUACUUGGUAAAGAAGCACCGGCUAACUCCGUGCCAGCAGCUGCGGUAAUACGGAGGGUGCAAGCAUUGAUCGGAAUUACUGGGCGUAAAGGGCGCGCAGGCGGUUAGGAAAGUCAGAUGUGAAAUUCCGGGGCUCAACCCCGGCACUGCAUUUGAAACUUCCUUUCUAGAGUUCAGUUAGGGAAAACGGAAUUCCACGUGUAGCGGUGAAAUGCGUAGAUAUGUGGAAGAACACCAGUGGUGAAGACGGUUUUCUGGGCUGAGACUGACGCUGAGGCGCGAAAGCAAGGGGAGCAAACAGGAUUAGAUACCCCCGUAGUCC